RNAcentral lists this ribosomal RNA (690 nucleotides) under uncultured Actinomycetes bacterium. Its description in RNAcentral is "bacterial SSU rRNA". It matches the Rfam family "Bacterial small subunit ribosomal RNA", at positions 69 to 773 of the family's 1533-position model. The record is from RNAcentral. Lineage: Bacteria; Bacillati; Actinomycetota; Actinomycetes.
GCACUCGACCUUCGGGUCACAUGAGUGAGUGGCGAACGGGUGAGUAACACGUGAGAAACCUGCCCCGAAGACUGGAAUAACCCGAGGAAACUCGGGCUAAUACCGGAUAUCCCCACCAGGUCGCAUGGCCAGGUGAGGAAAUGCUCAGGCGCUUCGGGAGGGUCUCGCGGCCUAUCAGCUAGUUGGUGAGGUAACGGCUCACCAAGGCAACGACGGGUAGCUGGUCUGAGAGGACGAUCAGCCACACUGGGACUGAGACACGGCCCAGACUCCUACGGGAGGCAGCAGUGGGGAAUCUUGCGCAAUGGGCGAAAGCCUGACGCAGCCACGCCGCGUGAGGGAUGAAGGCUUUCGGGUUGUAAACCUCUUCCAGCAGGGACGAAAAUGACGGUACCUGCAGAAGAAGCUCCGGCCAACUACGUGCCAGCAGCCGCGGUAACACGUAGGGAGCAAGCGUUGUCCGGAUUUAUUGGGCGUAAAGAGCUCGUAGGCGGUUCGGUAAGUCGGGUGUGAAAACUUGAGGCUCAACCUCAAGAGGCCACUCGAUACUGCUGUGACUGGAGUCCGGUAGAGGAGUGUGGAAUUCCUGGUGUAGCGGUGAAAUGCGCAUAUAUCAGGAGGAACACCGACAGCGAAGGCAGCACUCUGGGCCGGUACUGACGCUGAGGAGCGAAAGCAUGGGGAGCGAAC